Molecule: ribosomal RNA, 403 nt
Filed under: uncultured bacterium
Lineage: Bacteria
Description: partial 16S ribosomal RNA
Rfam family: Bacterial small subunit ribosomal RNA
Source: RNAcentral
GACGAACGCUGGCGGCGUGCCUAAUACAUGCAAGUCGAACGCAGUGGGGACGGGUGAGUAACACGUGGGUAACCUCCCAUCAGAGGGGAUAACCCUUGGAAAAAGGUGCUAAACUGAUACUGAUGGAUGGACCCGCGGUGCAUUAGCUAGUUGGUGAGGUAACGGCGCACCAAGGCCACGAUGCAUAGCCGGCCUGAGAGGGUGAUCGGCCACACUGGGACUGAGACACGGCCCAGACUCCUACGGGAGGCAGCAGUAGGGAAUCUUGGGCAAUGGACGAAAGUCUGAUGCAGCAACGCCGCGUGAAUGAAGAAGGUUUUCGGAUUGUAAAGUUCUGUUGGUAGGGAGGCGGUAUCGAACCAGAAAGCCACGGCUAACUACGUGCCAGCAGCCGCGGUAAUUC